UUUGAAAAAUAAAAAUCAGAACAGGUUAUAACUAUGUUAUACAGCUGAGUUACUGAACUGCAGGUACAAUACUGUCAGCUAUCUCUGGUUUCAACUGCAUCUUCUCUGUAUUCUUAGAAAUAUAUACAACACGAGAGAACUCACUGCAAUGUUUUAAGCACUGCAAAAAUCGAGAAUGCAGAAUUGUGAAUUUAUUUAUACACCAUACACCUCAUUCCCAGAAGUAUCUAAGACAACAACUUCAGCCAGCUCUUUAUUUCUGAGUACUGAACUUAUCUGGGGUUUUCAAAGUUUUCUUGGACUAAGGAAAUCUUUAGACAAUUUUCCAGGCUUGUUACAGGGGUGGGGAAGAAGGUGAUGAGAACUGCAUUCUAAAACAUCUCAUCUCUUCCCCUUUUGUUUCUCUGUGUGCCAGGAAGUAAACACUGCUGAGUCAACUACUGUCUUCUUGCCUUGUCCUCAGGACCUUCUAGGUAGAUAAGAUUUGGGACUGUCCAUGCUGUUAGGACUUCUCUGUGCGUGCGUGUGUGUAUGUACAUGCAUGUGUGUGUGUGUGUGUGUGUGUGUGUGUGUGUGUGUGUUUUCCUGGGGUGUAAAACUAAGGGCUCAGACACAUAAACUAGAUAAGACUUUACUACCCAGCUACAGCCCAAGUUCUGAAACUUCUAAUUUCAACCUCUUCUAGGUGUCAGAUUUUCAUACAUUCCUCCUCCCCUCCAUCCUCUCUGCCUCUCUUACAGAAACUACAGUGUCAGCUCCCUCCAUAAAAUGUUCUACUUCUGCAUCUCUCCACUUUCAAGAAUAACAUAACUACAGAGAAGAAACAGGAUAUAAGCUACAAAAUGCCAACAUUAAUCCCUACAACAAAGCAACCCUGGUGAUGUCUUGAUAUUAAACCAUGUUUAAAAACAAGAGGGAAAGGAACAUUUAUUGACACCUACUAUAUUAGGUAUGUCAGAUAAACACAUUAAAAUAUCUCAGCUUUGAAAAGUAUUACUUUAAUUCUUAUUUUAUUUUUUCUUUUGUUGUUGUUAUUGUUUUGGUGGGGAAGCAGGGCAACAAUUUUUGCUCUUUUUCCUAAGACGUUCUCAUGCAACCAAAGUUGCCCUUGACUUCCUGAUGACCUUGCCUCCAAUUCCUAAGUGGUAGGGUUGCAGGUGUACGCCACCAUGCUCAGCUUGUUUCUUUUCCUUGAACAGAGUUUGUAAUAGUCUCCUAAUUUAUCUCAAAGCCUGUUAGUUACAUCUAUCCCACAUUUAUCUAAUUCUAACACUAAUAUUCUUUUCAUUAAUUUACAUUUACUCAAACCCUCUGGUAUCAUUUUAUGAUCUUCACAUUUACCUGUACCAUUGCUUAAUUAACAUAAUACUUCCCCUGCCACACUGUACAGGGGCUUAUGCCCAGGGACUUUAGCAUGCUAUGUGGGAUGCUCUCCCACUGAACUACUUCGAGCCUUGUUACUUUUAGAUUCACCAACACUAGCAGCAUAUUAGCUUUAUUUUAGGCAGUGCAGCACUGAGGGAAUUAGUUUGAAAUACUAUGUAAUACAGCAAUGAACAUAGAUAAUUACCAAUCCAAGAAUGUUUCCUAAGCCAGCUCAUAUAGUAAGCUCUAGACAACGCUAUGCCAACCAGGGGGAACUGAGUCACCUUCCAGUCCUUCAAAUUCCUUCACAAGUUGUUUCCUUUGGACAGAAGGUUAUUCUGAAGCACCAGGGUUUCUGAAUUUUCUUGCAAUUUCACAAAGCACUGGGGAUGAGUGAGAGGCCAAUAUUCUCUUAACUGUACAUACACUUCCUCAAUACCUAUGUCAUUCACUGGGUAUAAAGCACACGGAGAAGCAGUCGCCCAACUCUCAGAUAUACUUCUUUAUCUUUUAUAUAUUGUUUUUGUGUGUAUGUGUGCACCUGCCCAGAUUACAGAAGUAGACAUCAGAUCUCUUGGAGCAGGAGUCACAGAUGGAGUGGGUUUUGGGAACAGAUCCCAGUCGUCUGUAUGAACGACAUGCAUGCCCUCUUAACUGCUGAGCCACUUUUGUCAGUCUCGGGUGCACUUCUAGGCUUUCCCUCAGUAAAUAGAAUGGCACACCUAAAAUGCAAUGGAUUCUGUAAACACUUAAAUUUCUUUAUCCUGUGACUUCAGGCAUCUUUAAGCAAGGUUCAUACUUUGUCCCAUUCCUCACUCAAAAACAUCUCUUUUGUCAGAGAACCUGAGACUGUAGAAGCUUUUAUAUGGUUUGUCAGUAAAAGAAACACCUUUCAAGCUGCUUCUGUAGGGAAAUGUUGUUUCAGAAUAUUUAGUACUUCCAAGAUUGCUAUGAAAAUAAAAUAUUUCAUAUACUUAUUUACUUAUUUUGGUUUUUCGAGAAAGGGUUUUUCUGUAGCUUUGGAGCCUGUCCUAGAACUAGCUCUUGUGGACCAGGCAGGCCUCGAACUCACAGAAAUCUGCCUGCCUCUGCCUCCCAAGUGCCCAAGUGCUGGGAUUAAAGGCGUGCACCACCACUGUCCGGCUCAUAUAUUCAUAUGUAUAUAUAAACCAGUCACAGUUUCUUGGAGCUGUUACAAUUCUGAGUGGUUUUCUAUAGUAGUGUUAUUCCCACACAUCAUUAUCUUAAGGAAGUUAUGGCAACAGCUAGUGGAUAAACGCCCAUGAACAAUGUUCUACUAUGAAAUAAUCAAGAUGCUGUAGACUAUAAAUACCAAUAUCUAAUCAAAUUAUUCUUCUAACUGCAUACCUACUAGCUAACCUACUGUAGCCUUCUUUGUAGGUUACAGAAAAUGUGAUGGCCCAACUCUGGAAUAUUCAGACACCCAUGUCAAUUCUUCAGGCAGAUGAACAAACUGGCAAGCAGUUUAAAAUUGAGGUUUUACAUGUGAUUACUAUGUGUAACAACAUAUGGAUUUGUUUCUUGUGGACUGGUAAAGCCAGCUGUGGAUCUGCAUUAGAUAUCAGGUGGUCUGAAAUACAUUCAGCUUUGGAAGCCUUUAGGGAAAACAGCCAUUUUCAGUCAGUAACACUAUACUCUAAAGAGAAGCAGAAAUCAGUGUGCUUUCUAUAUCAUGGAUUUGUAUAUGGAUACUAUGAAUUUGAAUGUUUAAUUUAGUCAAUUAAAGAAAUUAGUUUUAGGGGCUGGAGUUCAGAGCACUUGUUGCUCUUACAGAGGUCUAAGCAUCCCACUAUGAACAUGCUGACUUAAAAGCACCUAGUCCCAGGGUUCUGUCUACUGGCUCCCCGAGGCAUCAGAAACACACUGGUGCACAGAAAGAAAUAUGUAGGUAAAUGAUCAUACACAUACAGUACAAUAAGUAAAUCUUAAAGUGACCUUCACACAGUUUUGGCUACAUGUAUGGCACACUUCUCUAAUUCCAGCAGUACUGCAACAGCAGCAGAUGAGCUCUCUGAGAUGCCAGCUUAGUCUAUACUGUGAGUUUGUUGGUAGCUAGAGCAUACAGUGAGACCCUACCUUAAAAAUAUUUUGUUUUUGAUUUUUAGUUUUCAUGACAGGAUUUCUGUCACUUUGGAGCCUGUCCUGGAACUCGCUCUGUAGACCAGGUUGGCCUCGAACUCACAAGACAUCUACCUGCCUCUGUCUCCUGAGUGCUGGGAUUAAAAGGAGUGCACCACCCCUGCCAGCUGCUUUUUUAUUAAUGAGAGCAGGCAACUUCUCACAUGGUUGACACACACUUUUGUGUGUGUGUGUGUGUAUGACAGAGCUAUUCAUGUCCUGAUUUUGCUUAGUUUCCAUUUUACCGAAGUCUAAAACCAUUUUGUGUUUGUGUUUAUCUGACAGCAUUUUCCCAUUAGCUACUUUGUGAUUUUUGUUUGUGUUUUGGAGACAAUGCUUCACCAUAUAGCUCUGGCUAUCCUUGAACUCAUAAAUAUCUGCUGGGAUUAAAAACAUAUGCCACCAUGCUAGGCUGCUAGUUCAUAUUUUAAUUUACAAUGUUUUCACAGCUACUGUUAACAAUUUGAAUAUUAUGUAACCAAAAAAACCUUUUUUUUUUUUCUUCCCCAAACAGGGUUUUACUGUGUAGCUCUGGCUCUCCUAGAACUGGCUCUGUAGACCAGGCUGGCCUCAAACUAACAGAGAUCCACCUGCUUCUGCUUCCCAAGUACUACGAUUAAAGGUGUGUGCCACUACUGGCCAGCUCAAAAUUUCUUAAGUUUACUGUUCCUGGUUUUUAUGUCUUGCGAAAUAUGGUCUCUGUGUGUGUGUGUGUGUGUUUGUAUGCAUAUUUGCAUAUAUGUGUGGUGCAAGUGCACCUGCUUUUGAGGAGGCUGCUAGGGGUCCUUCUCUAUUCACCUCCACUUCCUGUCAUCCCUCGAGUGAGGCCAAGGUCUCAAGCAGCCCAGGCUGUCACCAAACUUGCUAUGUAGUUAUCUUGAGUUCUCGGUCUCUUUGCCUGAGCUCCCAAGAGUAUGGACCACUAUGCUGUUAAUACCACCAAUGUUCUAUUAAUUGUAUAUUAUCUUUCUUUGUUUGGUCACCCCCACAGGGUUUUGCUGUAGCUUUGGAACCUGUCCUGGAACUAGCUCUUGUAGACCAGGCUGGCCUCGAACUCACAUACAUCUGCCCGCCUCUGCCUCCUGAGUUGGGAUUAAAGGUGUGUGCCACCACUGCCCGGCUUGGAUAUUAUCUUUAUAGCUACUAAAUAUGUGCUUUUGUUUGGUCUUUUUUGCCAUUGUUUGAAUCAUUCUAGUUUACUUUUGUAAAAGGAAAGAAAAUAUAUUUACAAAAUGAAAGUAAAAAGACAUGAAAGUAAAAAGAAUGAAGUUGUGGUAGUAUACAGGGAUCCAAGUGUUUUCUUCAAAACUGGCAAUCAAACAUAGGUUUUGAGAAAGAUCUCACAUAUGGUAACAAUAUGUUAAGUCUCAGUUUAAACUUUUCCUGAAAAGAGUCCUAUGUAUCAGAAAUUACCAACUCUCCUCACCACUGCUGUCACUAGUGGGUUUUGUCUUCUAGAGCCCUUUCCUUGGAAAUAGUUGUCUUGGCUAUAAGAUUAAUUAAUGUUAACGGGGCAUAAUUUUCCCAGACAUCAUUGCUUUUAAGUCUCUGUAAUCAAUUUUCUGCAUUAGUUAGGAAUGGACCAAUAAACUUUCAAUUUCUUGC
Molecule: long non-coding RNA, 5109 nt
Organism: Alexandromys fortis (reed vole)
Lineage: Eukaryota; Metazoa; Chordata; Mammalia; Rodentia; Cricetidae
Exons: 2
Source: RefSeq, a predicted model, not a curated record